UUACCACAGUUGCUGCGCUAUUUCACACCGCCUCCACUGAGACUGCAGAAGCUGUGACUGGGAGGAUGACCUCCCAUGUUCCCACCGUGUUUUCCGUGGUGGUCUCAGCGAUCCCCCUGAUCGCAUUUAACGGGAGCAUCGCGGACUGUUCACAGGAUUCCUCAUUUUGCUGGUCAUUGUGGAGGCUGUAACGUUCCACUGCUGUGGAGCAGAAAACUACACGAAACUGGGAAAGAGCAGCACUGUGCCAGAGUCCUGCUGCAGGAUCCGACCCUCAGCCUGCGGGCUGGAUGCCUCGGCCCGGAGUAUUUACUGCAAGGCAAGACUUUCCUGCAGAGACACCCACGCAUUGGAGUUCUACCCUGGCACCGAAGUUCCUGUUUUUUUGUACCUGGUGGGCAUUAGGUACUUCCAGCACAGGAAAGGGGAGCUAAUUACUGCUAAUUAGCAGGAUAAUUAGGCUUGCUAAGUGGCAGAGAGUGGCCCUCUGUGGACAGACAUGCCUUCUAGGACCAUAUGUGACGUGACAGACUUUGUCCUUUGAUAAAUAGCACCGCGACUCCACCAAUUCUCCGCUGACUCUGCAGGACUUUGCGCUUGCAAUCAAGAUGUAUUUACAGGACAGCUCCCUCGCGAUAGGAGUCGCCUGCGUUAGCCUGGUGUUGGUGGAAGGAAGAGGCUGGCCUAGAAGUGCUGUAUCGUUAUAAAUAUUCAUGGGCAGUUUAACAGGUUUUAUAGUCACGCUGUCUGAACCCGAAGACAUCCUGCUUGUGCUGCUCAUGAAUAUCCAUGAAUUUAACGAAAGCAAACGUCUUUAAUCAAUGACAAAAGCUCUUUAGUUGGGACGUGAACAUGCCCUUAGGGUAAUAUAGCAGUCGUACAUAAAUAAAACAGCAGAACUCACACAGCAGUGCCUCUAUAGCCCUAGACUAAACCAAACAGUCUGGGAAAUGUGAUUGAUGUCAUUAUGGUGGAGGUUAAAUAAACUGUCGACGUGAUCUGCACUGUAAUUCACAAAAUUUUGAUUUUGCAGAAUGUUAAAACAGGAAUAUCUCUGGUCAAAUGAAUGCCGUGAAAAGCACUCACAAGUCACAUGUAAUCAACGGAAUAAUAGUGAUUUCCACGUAUAUUAGUCCUUACACAUUUAUAACAAAGUUAUAACAAAGAGAUGUUUAGUAUUUCAAGGAGUAGCAAAUUUGCAUUCUGAACACCGCAAACAUCGUCACUCAUGCUAUAACGAUCCUCCGCAAAAACAAUGUUGUUUAAUUUUGUGUCCCAUAAGCACUAUUAAAAUUGAUGAUCCUGGGAAAA
This is a long non-coding RNA of Brienomyrus brachyistius, 1311 nucleotides long. RefSeq lists it as uncharacterized. The transcript has 3 exons. The record is from RefSeq and is a predicted model, not a curated record. NCBI's taxonomy places the organism in Eukaryota, Metazoa, Chordata, Actinopteri, Osteoglossiformes, Mormyridae.